GAUUCUAUAAUGUAGUGGUUAGCAUGUCUCCUUUACACACAGAAGAUCCUGGGUUCGUGCCCCAGUGGAGCCA
This 73-nucleotide transfer RNA is filed under the name Pteropus alecto (black flying fox). It matches the Rfam family "tRNA". Rfam says of the family: Transfer RNA (tRNA) molecules are approximately 80 nucleotides in length. Their secondary structure includes four short double-helical elements and three loops (D, anti-codon, and T loops). Further hydrogen bonds mediate the characteristic L-shaped molecular structure. tRNAs have two regions of fundamental functional importance: the anti-codon, which is responsible for specific mRNA codon recognition, and the 3' end, to which the tRNAs corresponding amino acid is attached (by aminoacyl-tRNA synthetases). tRNAs cope with the degeneracy of the genetic code in two manners: having more than one tRNA (with a specific anti-codon) for a particular amino acid; and 'wobble' base-pairing, i.e. permitting non-standard base-pairing at the 3rd anti-codon position. Lineage: Eukaryota; Metazoa; Chordata; Mammalia; Chiroptera; Pteropodidae. The record is from Rfam by way of RNAcentral.